AAUAAGCACCGGCUAACUCUGUGCCAGCAGCCGCGGUAAUACAGAGGGUGCAAGCGUUAAUCGGAUUUACUGGGCGUAAAGCGCGCGUAGGUGGCCAAUUAAGUCAGAAUGUGAAAUCCCCGAGCUUAACUUAGGGAAUUGCAUUCGAUACUGGUUGGCUAGAGUAUGGGAGAGGAUGGUAGAAUUCCAGGUGUAGCGGUGAAAUGCGUAGAGAUCUGGAGGAAUACCGAUGGCGAAGGCAGCCAUCUGGCCUAAUACUGACACUGAGGUGCGAAAGCAUGGGGAGCAAACAGGAUUAGAUACCCUGGUAGUCCAUGCCGUAAACGAUGUCUACUAGCCGUUGGGGCCUUUGANGCUUUAGUGGCGCAGCUAACGCGAUAAGUAGACCGCCUGGGGAGUACGGUCGCAAGACUAAAACUCANAUGAAUUGACGGGGGCCCGCACAAGCGGUGGAGCAUGUGGUUUAAUUCGAUGC
This 475-nucleotide ribosomal RNA is filed under the name bacterium E-2-0-1E. Its description in RNAcentral is "bacterial SSU rRNA". It matches the Rfam family "Bacterial small subunit ribosomal RNA", at positions 485 to 957 of the family's 1533-position model. The record is from RNAcentral.